CCGGAGGUGGGGCCCGAGUUCCUGUCUCCAGCCCACGAUUUGCCGAUCCAUCUGUCUUCCUCAGAGAGAGAGGGCGGAUAAUGCACACUGCGCUUCCUUGGAAGACGGCAGGCUCCAGGCCAGACAAACGAAUGUAUCAACCAUACAGAUGAAGAGCUGAGGCUCAGGGAAGGAAUUUGCCAAGGUCACGAAGCUGUAAGACACAGAACCUGGGGUGUCUGCCUGCAGAGCUCACACUGACUCUACAGCCACUGAUCCAAAGCUUCAAUGAGCAAGAGAUGAAGUGACCCCUCCAACCCCACAGCUCAGAGUCUUUCUUGAAGCUCCAACUCCAGGGCCAUUGUUUUCCUGUUCUCCCCACUCCAAGGCCUCUCCUCUCUCCUUGGCCCAACUCUCUGACAGUGAUGCAGGUACUUGGCAAAUUUAAAUGGGAGGGACUGCCUUUAAAAACCAACGAACCCCUUCCGAAUGAACAUAUUCUAUUGAAUGCCAUAUGAAGAAAAAUCUAGGGGUUUGUACUCGUUUCCUG
Molecule: long non-coding RNA, 529 nt
Filed under: Pan troglodytes (chimpanzee)
Lineage: Eukaryota; Metazoa; Chordata; Mammalia; Primates; Hominidae
Description: long non-coding RNA NONPTRT017108
Source: RNAcentral